GAGGGUAGAACUCAGUGGUAGAGUGGGUACUUGGCAUGCAUGAGGUCCUGGGUUCAAUCCUCAGUAUCGCCA
This 72-nucleotide transfer RNA is filed under the name Camelus bactrianus (Bactrian camel). It matches the Rfam family "tRNA". Rfam says of the family: Transfer RNA (tRNA) molecules are approximately 80 nucleotides in length. Their secondary structure includes four short double-helical elements and three loops (D, anti-codon, and T loops). The record is from Rfam by way of RNAcentral. Lineage: Eukaryota; Metazoa; Chordata; Mammalia; Artiodactyla; Camelidae. RNAcentral also lists the same sequence under 2 other names.